GAUGAAGAACGUAGCGAAAUGCGAUAAGUAAUGUGAAUUGCAGAAUUCAGUGAAUCAUCGAAUCUUUGAACGCACAUUGCGCCCGCUAGUAUUCUGGCGGGCAUGCCUGUCUGAGCGUCAUUUCAACCCUCAAGCCCCCGGGCUUGGUGUUGGGGAUCGGCGAGCCUCCGCGCCCGCCGUCCCCUAAAUCUAGUGGCGGUCUCGCUGUAGCUUCCUCUGCGUAGUAGCACACCUCGCACUGGGAAACAGCGCGGCCACGCCGUUAAACCCCCAACUUCUGAACGUUUGACCUCGGAUCAGGUAGGAAUACCCGCUGAACUUAAGCAUAUCAAUAAGCGGAGGA
Molecule: unclassified non-coding RNA, 343 nt
Filed under: soil metagenome
Description: partial contains 5.8S ribosomal RNA, internal transcribed spacer 2, and large subunit ribosomal RNA
Rfam family: 5.8S ribosomal RNA (bases 1-120)
Source: RNAcentral